Molecule: long non-coding RNA, 1457 nt
Organism: Gasterosteus aculeatus aculeatus (three-spined stickleback)
Lineage: Eukaryota; Metazoa; Chordata; Actinopteri; Perciformes; Gasterosteidae
Source: Ensembl
AGAUACUCAGAACUGUGCCACACAAUGGUGAAAUAAGCAAGAAAAGAAGUUUGGGGAACACCUCCGCGAUGGUCCAAUGAGUCAAAGCCGGCUGUGGGGGCGGGUGUCCCCUUUAUGACCAGUUUCAUCAGGGAUCUCCCUGCGCUGCAGCCUCCGGCACCAACGCACACGUCCACGAUGUUUCCAUCGAGACAUUUCGAUGUGGCGAGGGCUGGUUUGAUAAAGAGAGAAUCAAACCGCUUCUCGUCUGUAGUGUUCCACUUCCUGGAAAACGGGUUUGUAAACACACGCCGUAAAUGUCAGCAGCCCAUGAUUUAUGUCCCUGCCGGUUGGAACACUCACCAACAUCGCAAGAAGUGACAUAAUUGUUUGGUUGAAAAAUGUUGCCUUUUGAUUAUUUUUUUUAACUGUUCAACUUUAAAGCUUAGUUCUUGGAUAAGUGAUUCCAGGUCCCUCUUUUCCUUUACUUUUCUUUAGUAGUAAGUGUAAGACAUGUCUUGGUGUCUUCCUGAUCAACCAAUUUCCAUUACAUUCCCUUGAGACAUCACAAGUCCCAGCUUCAUUCCCAGGAGGAAUAAUGUCCGUCUUCGGCCCGUCCCUGUCUCUGGGGAGGUAGCUGGCGUGUGUUUUUCUAAGUGUCUGCUGUGCCGGCUGCUGGCAUCAUACUGGUUCUGGCCAGGCUGUGGUCUCUCGCCUCCCCGUACUCUGCUUCCGCCUGCGGUGUGGCGGGCCUCCUUCCUGUGUGUGUGUCAGUGGCAGUUUGGCCUGAUUUAUAGGCCCCUGAUCCACGGCGUUUUGGACCCCACCUCCGCUGCUGGAAUGGCUAUUCCGUGUGUCGGCGGUGGCUCCACCUGGGUGGUUCUCCACUGAUGGGGGUCAGAUGUGGUCCUGCUCACAAGCUCCAGGAGCUCAGGGGAACGUAACCUGCAGACCGUCUGGAGAGAAAGUGCUUUCAGAAAAUGUGGUUCCAGGCUGAGGAGGUUUUACUUUUAUUUAAAGCAACAAGCGCUUGCAAUAUAACGGUAGCCGAUAUUUGAGAAUUUCUUCAAAUGGGGCGCAAAUGGCCAACUUGUAUCGAGGAUGAACUGGUCCCAUUUCACAGGUCAAAGGUCAAGGGCACUUUGACCUUCAAGUUUCUCUCAUUCUCAUGAAUAUUGCCGCAGCAAAUAUCAAAUUUUGGACAAAUGUCCACCCAAACUCAGGACUGAACUGGUUAGUAUUUGUUUCAUGGGUCACUCCAGUCAUAAAACGCGUGUUGUGGUCUUAACGCUAAUUAAGAUCAAACCUUUAUUAGCCCCAGAGUAUAGAAAACAUAUAGUGAAAACUUAAAAGUAUAAUAAAUUAAGUAAAUCUUCAAAGAUCAGCAAUAGUUGAAAAUAAUAUAGAUUGAGUGGUUAUGCCUGUUAUUUUACAUAUGAGGUGGGGGAUAUAAUAAAUAAUUAUAAUGUGUGUAUUGA